GGCUUCAUAAUCUACAGGUUGAGGGUUUGGGGUUUUUUUUCUUUCAUGGGGUCUACUCUAUGGUGAGUUUUUUAAUAUUCUUCCUGA
This is a non-coding RNA of Sturnus vulgaris (Common starling), 87 nucleotides long. Lineage: Eukaryota; Metazoa; Chordata; Aves; Passeriformes; Sturnidae. The record is from RefSeq and is a predicted model, not a curated record.